AACGAACGCUGGCGGCGGGCCUAACACAUGCAAGUCGAGCGAGCAUUUCGGUGCUAGCGGCGGACGGGUGAGUAACGCGUGGGAACGUGCCCUUUUCUGCGGAAUAGUCCUGGGAAACUGGGGGUAAUACCGCAUACGCCCUUUUGGGGAAAGAUUUAUCGGAGAAGGAUCGGCCCGCGUUGGAUUAGGUAGUUGGUGGGGUAAUGGCCCACCAAGCCGACGAUCCAUAGCUGGUUUGAGAGGAUGAUCAGCCACACUGGGACUGAGACACGGCCCAGACUCCUACGGGAGGCAGCAGUGGGGAAUCUUAGACAAUGGGGGCAACCCUGAUCUAGCCAUGCCGCGUGAGUGAUGAAGGCCUUAGGGUUGUAAAGCUCUUUCAGCUGGGAAGAUAAUGACGGUACCAGCAGAAGAAGCCCCGGCUAACUCCGUG
This 433-nucleotide ribosomal RNA is filed under the name uncultured bacterium. RNAcentral describes it as "partial 16S ribosomal RNA". It matches the Rfam family "Bacterial small subunit ribosomal RNA", at positions 29 to 507 of the family's 1533-position model. The record is from RNAcentral.